UUUACAUCUGUAGUUUAUAGGAUGAGCACCUCCGAAGGAGGUUUGAGCCGAGCGCAGCGAGACAACGUUGCUUUAGCAACGGCCCGUAGGGCGGCAUCGCAGAUGCAAGUCAUCCUCUCUCGCUGACCA
This 129-nucleotide small RNA is filed under the name Serratia liquefaciens. RNAcentral describes it as "RtT sRNA". It matches the Rfam family "RtT RNA". From Rfam's summary of the family: This family represents a bacterial cis-regulatory element known as RtT RNA. The exact function of RtT is unknown although it is thought that it may be involved in changing the cellular response in relation to amino acid starvation. RNAcentral also lists the same sequence under 3 other names. The record is from RNAcentral. Lineage: Bacteria; Pseudomonadati; Pseudomonadota; Gammaproteobacteria; Enterobacterales; Yersiniaceae.